CGGGGCGUGGCGCAGCCUGGUAGCGCGCUGCACUGGGGGUGCAGAGGCCGUGGGUUCGAAUCCCGCCGCCCCGACCA
RNAcentral lists this transfer RNA (77 nucleotides) under Verrucomicrobiaceae bacterium. RNAcentral's name for it is "tRNA-Pro". It matches the Rfam family "tRNA". Rfam says of the family: Transfer RNA (tRNA) molecules are approximately 80 nucleotides in length. Their secondary structure includes four short double-helical elements and three loops (D, anti-codon, and T loops). RNAcentral also lists the same sequence under 1 other name. The record is from RNAcentral. Lineage: Bacteria; Pseudomonadati; Verrucomicrobiota; Verrucomicrobiia; Verrucomicrobiales; Verrucomicrobiaceae.